GACGGCGGUGUUUGGCACCUCGAUGUCGGCUCAUCACAUCCUGGGGCUGAAGUAGGUCCCAAGGGUAUGGCUGUUCGCCAUUUAAAGUGGUACGCGAGCUGGGUUUAGAACGUCGUGAGACAGUUCGGUCCCUAUCUGCCGUGGGCGCUGGAGAAUUGAGGGGGGCUGCUCCUAGUACGAGAGGACCGGAGUGGACGCAUCACUGGUGUUCGGGUUGUCAUGCCAAUGGCACUGCCCGGUAGCUAAAUGCGGAAGAGAUAAGUGCUGAAAGCAUCUAAGCACGAAACUUGCCCCGAGAUGAGUUCUCCCUGAGACUUUAAGUCUCCUGAAGGAACGUUAAAGACGAUGACGUUGAUAGGCCGGGUGUGUAAGCGCAGCGAUGCGUUGAGCUAACCGGUACUAAUGAACCGUGAGGCUUAACCUU
RNAcentral lists this ribosomal RNA (424 nucleotides) under Pseudomonas aeruginosa. RNAcentral describes it as "partial 23S ribosomal RNA". It matches the Rfam family "Bacterial large subunit ribosomal RNA", at positions 2507 to 2925 of the family's 2925-position model. Lineage: Bacteria; Pseudomonadati; Pseudomonadota; Gammaproteobacteria; Pseudomonadales; Pseudomonadaceae. The record is from RNAcentral.